Non-coding RNA from Caerostris darwini, 107 nucleotides. NCBI's taxonomy places the organism in Eukaryota, Metazoa, Arthropoda, Arachnida, Araneae, Araneidae. The record is from the annotation of a GenBank genome assembly.
AACGGCCGUACUAUGCUAAAUAUACCGGUUCUCGUUAGAUCACCGAAGUUAAGCAUCAUAUCAGUACUUUAAAGGUGGGUGACCACCUGGGGACACUGCGUGCCGUU